GCAGUCCUGUAUCUCAGGUGGAUCUCUCUCUUCCCCAGAAAUGCAAACACCUGCCACAGGCACAGGGGGGCCUUUGGGGGAAGUGGCCCCCCUCACUUUUGGGGGCCGGAGCAGCUGUAUUUACUGUCAUGUGAUGCUGUCAUGUGAUCAGAGUUCCUUCACAGGGUUUGGCUCCCUUGCCAAAGCAUCCAGCCCUGUAGGUUGGAGGAGCAGCCUAUCGGAUGGGCGGGAUUUCCAGCCAACAGAGGCCUUGGACGGUGAUGAAGAGGCCCAAUCAGAGCUUCCCUCUGUGGGAUUUUUGAAGGCCAACGGGGAAUAGCAUGACCGCGCUUCACAGCUAAGAAGACAAGGACGCGCUGUCGGGUUGUGUUCCUGGUGGAGCGUUGACUGGGACCAGGCCCCUCAAGGCUUCCUAGCCACCUCCCAGGAAGCCUGACUUGCACUUCUGUUGCCACCUCACUUCUGCAUCCCCCCAGCAAACCCGCUGCCUGUGGUUACCAGGACCACAAGUGAUGCAAGAUGAUGGCUUCAUUGCUGGGACCUCCUCCCCAGCUAGCAGGGCAUUGAAACAGCCUAAUUGGUGUCUCUGGGGGAAGUAGGGGGGAGGUACCAAAUUGUUCACCCAGGAACCGGGCCUAGCCCUCGGGGACUCCUCCCCACACAGGCACACUGGGAAGGUGCUUUCUCAGUCCCAAUCGGAGGACUAGGAUGCAGGGUAACGGGGGAAGGCCGCUAGUAUCCAGGUUCCUGGUCUGCCAGACAGGCACGUAACAAUCACGUAUAUGCAUGUGUUCAUUGAAUAAACAUUGUUGACAGAACCGA
Canis lupus familiaris (dog) is the source of this 822-nucleotide long non-coding RNA. RefSeq lists it as uncharacterized. Lineage: Eukaryota; Metazoa; Chordata; Mammalia; Carnivora; Canidae. The transcript has 2 exons. The record is from RefSeq and is a predicted model, not a curated record.